GGGGGUGUAGCUCAUUUGGCAGAGCGCGUCAUUAGCAUCUUCUUGUAUAGGUCCUUUGACGAGGUACUGGGUUCAAUUCCCAGCUCCUCCA
RNAcentral lists this transfer RNA (91 nucleotides) under Cryptococcus neoformans. RNAcentral's name for it is "tRNA-Ala". It matches the Rfam family "tRNA". From Rfam's summary of the family: Transfer RNA (tRNA) molecules are approximately 80 nucleotides in length. Lineage: Eukaryota; Fungi; Basidiomycota; Tremellomycetes; Tremellales; Cryptococcaceae. RNAcentral also lists the same sequence under 1 other name. The record is from RNAcentral.